UAGGGAAUCUUCCGCAAUGGGCGAAAGCCUGACGGAGCAACGCCGCGUGAGUGAUGAAGGUCUUCGGAUCGUAAAACUCUGUUAUUAGGGAAGAACAAAUGUGUAAGUAACUAUGCACGUCUUGACGGUACCUAAUCAGAAAGCCACGGCUAACUACGUGCCAGCAGCCGCGGUAAUACGUAGGUGGCAAGCGUUAUACGGAAUUAUUGGGCGUAAAGCGCGCGUAGGCGGUUUUUUAAGUCUGAUGUGAAAGCCCACGGCUCAACCGUGGAGGGUCAUUGGAAACUGGAAAACUUGAGUGCAGAAGAGGAAAGUAGAAUUCCAUGUGUAGCGGUGAAAUGCGCAGAGAUAUGGAGGAACACCAGUGGCGAAGGCGACUUUCUGGUCUGUAACUGACGCUGAUGUGCGAAAGCGUGGGGAUCAAACAGG
This 429-nucleotide ribosomal RNA is filed under the name Actinomycetes bacterium. Its description in RNAcentral is "Actinobacteria bacterium partial 16S ribosomal RNA". It matches the Rfam family "Bacterial small subunit ribosomal RNA", at positions 355 to 776 of the family's 1533-position model. The record is from RNAcentral. Lineage: Bacteria; Bacillati; Actinomycetota; Actinomycetes.